RNAcentral lists this long non-coding RNA (255 nucleotides) under Mytilus galloprovincialis (Mediterranean mussel). The record is from RNAcentral. Lineage: Eukaryota; Metazoa; Mollusca; Bivalvia; Mytilida; Mytilidae.
GGGGGUCUCUUCCUAUAUAAAGGUAUAUACAUAUGUGCCGCUGGAAUGGUCCCUUUUUUGAUCCGUCAAAUAUAUCAAUGGGGUGCAAUUUUACCGAGGAAAUAUAUCAAUAGGUAGUAAUUGACCGAUUGUGAUAUAUCAAUGGGUCAUAAAUUUCAUAAAAUAUAUGAAUGGGUUAUGAUUUCGCUGUGAAAUAUAUGUAUAGGUAGGGAUUUCACAAUUAUUCAAUAUAUGAAUGGGGGUGUUUUUAAAAUC